Molecule: long non-coding RNA, 1009 nt
Organism: Denticeps clupeoides (denticle herring)
Lineage: Eukaryota; Metazoa; Chordata; Actinopteri; Clupeiformes; Denticipitidae
Source: Ensembl
GGGAACGGGAGUUGCGCGCCAGAGAGCCGGAGGGGCCGCGGAACUCCUCCUCGCCGGUCCUCCUGGGCCCUGGGAUCAGCUCUGCACAAAUAUUGGGAUUUGAUGGGAGUUGGGCGGAGUCAGAACCCCAGGAGAAGAAGGGGUGAAGAACGGUAUCUGUUCUGUGUGGCGCUCCAUUGAGAAGGAGCCCCGGGGCUUUUGUGAGGUCAGCACUGAGAGAGGCGACGGUGACAGUGGCACACCGCUCUCCCCGAGCACCGGCACACACCGCUUCUCACCAACUCUUUCACCACACACACACCAGCACAGAACUGACCGAUGGAAAAAUGUGUAGCAUAAAGGUUUAAUUCAGUCUGAAUUUCAAUUAUAUUGGCAAUAAGAUUUUUUAUCAUGACAUUUUAUCAAUAUUAUCAUAUAGACCUAUUUGUUUAUUGGCAGUAUGUUUAAUAAUUCAGUUUUAGUGUACAUAUCAGUAUAUUUGUCCAUUUUGUACAAUGUUGUUAAUUAAUUAUUACAGUAUUAAUCAAAACAUAAUAAUUACAAAUUGUAUUAAUUAGUAGUAAUUCAGCCGGUGGUACAGAACAUAAAUGUGAUUUUAAAUUUAUAUUUAACGGACAUGCAAUUAUAAUUAUUUCUAUAUUUAUAAAACAUUAAUAAAAAGGUCAGUGAAUCAUAUAAGUUAAAUCUGUAAUGGUCAAUGCAAUUCCACAGUAAAACCUGUGAAUAACAGGCACGGUUAUGAAAUCAGCAGAUCCCAUUUUUGAAGGUAUAAUCAUUUCUAUCUGAUAAUGCUGCCUCAUUUCUCCUGCGCCGCGCGCCACGUCUUAAAGAGGUGACAAUCUUGUUAAGAGGAUUUGGAAGCUAAUGUGUCUCUCUCAGCCGGCCAUCCAGAUUUUAUUUAUUUUUUAAUAAUCAAAGGAAGGGAUCUUGAUCGAGGUGUGGUGGGUAUUAAAAGCACUCAUUUUUUGAGGGUGGGUUUAUCUAUAAUCAAUUCUUUCCCCAGGGACAC